CUAUCUUUUAAGGUGGACUUUUGCUAACAGUUUUUUUUUUUUUUAUUGAAGUAUAAUUUACAAUAUAGUGUUAGUUUCGAGUGUAUAGUGAAAUGAUUCAAUUAUACAUAUAUAUGUACACACACAUAUUCUUUUUCAGAUUCUUUUCCAUUAUAAGGUUAUAAUAAGAUAUUGAGUAUAGAUCUCCUUUUUAUAUCUUUGGUUUUUGUUGUUGUUGUUUUGGCCACACCAAUGACAUGUGGAAGUUACCGGGGCAGGGAUGGAAUCCAAGCCACAACUGUGGCCCAAGCCACUGCAGUGAAAAUGCCAGGUCCUUAACCUGCUGUGCUACACAAGAACUCCUGAGUACGGAUCUCUUCUUUAUUUUGUUUUUUGGUUGUUGCUGUUUUUUGCUUUCUUAGGGCCACACCCGCAGUUCUCAGGCUAGGGCUCUAAUUGGAGCUGCAGCUGCCGUCCUUUGCCACAGCAACUGGGGAUCCAAGCUGCGACUGCGACCUACACCACAGUUCACAGCAACACCGGAUCCUUAACCCACUGAGCGAGGCCAGGGAUCAAACCCACAACUUCAUGAUUCCUAGUAAGAUUUAUCUGGCGUUGUUGUGGCUGUGGCACUGGCCAGCCACAACAUAUGCUGCAGGUGCAACCCUACAAAGACAAAAGUAAAAAAUAAAAAAAAUAAAUAAAUGAAGCAAAACAAAAGCCACUAGAGUUACAGUGAUGGUACAUAACACACAGCCUCCACGUAGUCUGGGAAGUACCAGUGAGGGAAGCCAGCAAAUGUCACAACGAUGGUGACCGCAGUGGCAUUUAUAACAGCAGACAAAGUACAAGUUCAAAGUACACAUGAGAGGGCCAGCGAGAGGGCCAAUGUUAAAGAGGGAUUUAUUGGCGCGCACAGUAAUUAAAAAUGAUAACCACGAAGCCUCUCUGGCAGCCCAGAAAACAAGAAGGAAAUGAUGCCGACAUGAAAACAGCAGAGACUCACAGACAUAGAAAACAAAUUUACAGUUACUCAAGGGGAAAGGGAUAAAUCAGGAGUUGAUGAGUAGCAGACACACACUAUUACAUAUAAAACAGAUAAACAACAAGGACCUACUGUAUAGCACAGAAACCUACAUUCAAUAUCUUGAGAUAAGCUAUGGUGGAAAAGAAUCAGGAAAAGAACAUAUAUACAACAUAUAUAUAUAAAACUAAAUCACUUUGCUGGAUAGCUGAAACAUUGUAAAUCAACUAUAUUUCAAUUAAAAACAAACCAAAAAAAAGAGAAAACGAACCCAAACUGCUUUAUCCACUGUUGGAAAGUGGUUCCAAUUUUUGAAAAUGAUGUGAUUGCUCUUUAACAGCAGGAAUGCUGCGUGUGGACUGCAGGAAUGAAUGUAGGCAAGAGAGAAAAUUCAAGCCGUGAUGACACCCAUACUGAGUGCUUAUUAGACGCCACCCGGUCAAGCAUCUGGCCCACUUUUAAGUUCACUGAACCUUACAACGACCCUAUCAGGUGGGACUUUCAGGCCUAUUUUGUAAUAAUAAUAAUAAUAAUAAUAAUAAUAACAAUAGCAACACCGGAUCCUCAACCUACUGAGCCAUCAGGGAAUUCCUUAGGCCCAUUUUAAAGACAUGGAAACCGAGGCUUAGCAAGGAAAAGCCAUCAGCCAAGGCCCUAUCAGCAAGAAGAAGAGAUGGGAUUUGAACACACAACUUUUUUUUUUUUUUUUGCUUUUUAGGGCCACACUUGAAGCAUAUGGAGGUUCCCAGGCCAGGGGUCUAAUUGGAGCUGUAGCCACCGGCCUACACCAGAGCCACAGCAACGCAGGAUCUGAGCCGUGUCUGCAACCCACACCACGGCUUACCACAAUAUCGGAUCCUUAACUCACUGAUCGAACACAGGGAUCAAACCUGCAUCCUCACGGAUACUUGUUGGGUUCGUUAAUCACUGAGCCACAAUGGUAACUCCUGAACUCACAUCUAACUGACCCAGAACAUGAGCACUUACAUGCUGUGGGACCCAUGGAGCCCAAACUCAAACUCGGAUAACCUUUGGUGCCAAUGAGGGUUCUUGAAAAGCUCCCUAAACACCCAUGUGUUGCCACUUUAAAAAUGUACAACAGCCUUUGAUAUGCAUCUCCCAAAGCUCCACUGCUUAUAAGAACUUGACAAUGAGAGAACAGUUCUCUGGAGAAAAAUAAAACUAUUGAAACAAAAUCUCAACAACAGCAUUCUCUUCUCUGCGCUCAAUUCAUUCCCAUGACACACAAAUGCCUCGCCUCAUUGAAACCUCAGUGCUUAUCUGAAUAAGGCAGAGAGGUUUCCUCACACCAUUCAUAUGGCUUGAGGACUGAUCGGCCAAGAUCUUGGCACAUCUGUUUCUGCUGACAAGAACACCAGCCUGGACCAAACUCAAUUCAGCAGCCCCAUGCCCUGCUACUUACAAACCAUGGGGUAAGGCUCAGCCCAGAUUUGACAAGGAAAUAGAUUACAGAAGCAAUGAAGUAGAAUGAAUGAUCUGAGCAGCAGGACAAAUGUACUCGACCCCGGUCUGGCAAAACUGCACCAUUAUUACUAACUCUCAAUUCUUUCAGAACAGCCUGUCACAAUCAUAUUUGCCCAAUUCCUGCCCAACAUUUAGUGAACAAAAUCUGAAAAAGAAUAUCUAACAUCGGGGGAGGGAGUGAGAUGGAUUGGGAGCUUGGGGUUAGUAGAUGCAGACUACUGCCUUUGGAAUGGAUUAGCAAUGAGAUUCUGCUGUGUAGCACUGGGAACUAUGCCUCGUCACUUAUGAUGGAGCAUGAUAAUGUGAGAAAAAAGAAGGUAUACAUGUAUUUGUAACUGGGUCACCAUGCUAUACAGUAGAAAAUUGACAGAACACUGUAAACCAGCUAUAAUGGAAAAAAUAAAAAUCAUUAUUAAAAAAAAAUACCUAACAUUGCCUCUUGUCUAACUUUUUGACAGCCUCCACAAUAGAUGAAUCCUAGGUGCUUCCCAUGGUGUAAUUUGAAACAACUCAAAUUGAAAAGUCAACUUCUACUACUGUGUAGAAAUUAACAUUUUUUUUUUUCUUUUUAAGGCCACACCUGCAGUAUAUGGAAGUUCCCAGGUUAGGGGUCGAAUCUGAGCUGCAGCUGCCAGCCUACACUACAGCCACAGCAAUGCCAGAUCCUUAACCCACUGAGCAAGGCCAGGGAUCAAAUCUGAGUUCUCAUGGAUAUUACUUGGUUUCUUAGCCCCCUGAGCCACAAUGGGAACUUCUAACACAAUAUUUUAAAUCAACUGUACUUCAAUGAAAUAAUUUUUUUUUUUCCUUUUUCAGCUGCAUCCAUGACAUGUGGAAGUUCCUGGGCCAGGGACUGAAUCUGAGCCACAGCUUUGAUCUAUGCCACAGCUGCAGCAACACCAAAUCUCCAACCCACUGGGCUAGGCCAGGGAUUGAAACUGCACCACCACAGAGAAAAUGCCGGCCUCUUAACCCACUGCACCACUGCAGGAACUCUAAUAAAAUAAAUUUUUAAAAAACUAAAUAAAAGUAACAAAAAAGAUUUUUUUUUUAAUUUAAAAGAAAAAAAGCCAAUUUCUUGGGUAAAAAAUGUAUAAACAAAAAGUCCUUUUUUGAAACAAGCUUUAUUUUCAAUGCUAUUUAGUUCUAAAAGCCUGCCUAUUUGUUUUUCCUCGCACCAGGUUACCUACAAGUCAGGAUUUCGAAAACCACAACAAACAAAUCCAACACCUGUGGAAUCUGAGCCCUGACCACCAGCAUGUCAUUUUGGCAAUUAAACCAGGACUUCCUUCCAAGAAGCUUCUGUGCAAAAUAU
RNAcentral lists this long non-coding RNA (3803 nucleotides) under Sus scrofa (pig). RNAcentral describes it as "lncRNA (ENSSSCG00050062268.1)". The record is from RNAcentral. Lineage: Eukaryota; Metazoa; Chordata; Mammalia; Artiodactyla; Suidae.